UGAGGAACAUGACCUUCGGCGGGGGAUAGCCGGCCCAACGGCCGGGUAAUACCGCGUACGACCACUCGGGGACAUCCCUAGGUGGUGAAAGCAGCAAUGCGCCGAUGGAGUGCCUCGCGGCCUAUCAGCUAGUUGGUGAGGUAACGGCUCACCAAGGCAACGACGGGUAGCUGGU
RNAcentral lists this ribosomal RNA (175 nucleotides) under uncultured bacterium. Its description in RNAcentral is "partial 16S ribosomal RNA". It matches the Rfam family "Bacterial small subunit ribosomal RNA", at positions 118 to 291 of the family's 1533-position model. The record is from RNAcentral.